UAAGGAAUAUUGGUCAAUGGACGCAAGUCUGAACCAGCCAUGCCGCGUGGAGGAUGAAGGUCCUCUGGAUUGUAAACUUCUUUUAUCUGGGAAGAAAUGUGGAUUUUCUAAUCUAUUUGACGGUACCAGAUGAAUAAGCACCGGCUAACUCCGUGCCAGCAGCCGCGGUAAUACGGAGGGUGCAAGCGUUAUCCGGAUUCACUGGGUUUAAAGGGUGCGUAGGCGGAUUUGUAAGUCCGUGGUGAAAUCUCCGAGCUUAACUCGGAAACUGCCAUGGAUACUAUAAGUCUUGAAUGUUGUGGAGGUUUGCGGAAUAUGUCAUGUAGCGGUGAAAUGCUUAGAUAUGACAUAGAACACCGAUUGCGAAGGCAGCAGGCUACACAAAUAUUGACGCUGAGGCACGAAAGCGUGGGGAUCAAACA
This 422-nucleotide ribosomal RNA is filed under the name uncultured Bacteroidota bacterium. RNAcentral's name for it is "bacterial SSU rRNA". It matches the Rfam family "Bacterial small subunit ribosomal RNA", at positions 355 to 774 of the family's 1533-position model. RNAcentral also lists the same sequence under 1 other name. Lineage: Bacteria; Pseudomonadati; Bacteroidota. The record is from RNAcentral.